UGCAACAGCAAUAUGCUAUCUGGUUAGUUAUUUAUCGCAUGAUGAGUAAUAGAAAGGAGCUUCACAGCUUCACUUAAAAAUGGGGGUGCGGAACAUUAGUUAGUUGGUAGGGUAAUGGCCUACCAAGACGAUGAUGUUUAGCCGGGCCGAGAGGCUGUACGGCCACACUGGGACUGAGAUACGGCCCAGACUCCUACGGGAGGCAGCAGUAAGGAAUUUUCCACAAUGAGCGAAAGCUUGAUGGAGCGACACAGCGUGCAGGAUGAAGUUCUUCGGAAUGUAAACUGCUGUUAUAAGGGAAGAAAAAAUAGAAUAGGAAAUGAUUUUAUCUUGACGGUACCUUAUUAGAAAGCGACGGCAAACUAUGUGCCAGCAGCCGCGGUAAUACAUAGGUCGCAAGCGUUAUCCGGAAUUAUUGGGCGUAAAGCGUCCGUAGGUUUUUUGCUAAGUCUGGAGUUAAAUGCUGAAGCUCAACUUCAGUCCGCUUUGGAUACUGGCAAAAUAGAAUUAUAAAGAGGUUAGCGGAAUUCCUAGUGAAGCGGUGGAAUGCGUAGAUAUUAGGAAGAACACCAAUAGGCGAAGGCAGCUAACUGGUUAUAUAUUGACACUAAGGAACG
Molecule: ribosomal RNA, 617 nt
Filed under: Klebsiella pneumoniae
Lineage: Bacteria; Pseudomonadati; Pseudomonadota; Gammaproteobacteria; Enterobacterales; Enterobacteriaceae
Description: bacterial SSU rRNA
Rfam family: Bacterial small subunit ribosomal RNA
Source: RNAcentral